RNAcentral lists this ribosomal RNA (476 nucleotides) under uncultured organism. RNAcentral describes it as "partial 16S ribosomal RNA". It matches the Rfam family "Bacterial small subunit ribosomal RNA", at positions 333 to 800 of the family's 1533-position model. The record is from RNAcentral.
ACACUCCUGCGGGAGGCAGCAGUGGGGAAUUUUGGACAAUGGGCGAAAGCCUGAUCCAGCAAUGCCGCGUGAGUGAAGAAGGCCUUCGGGUUGUAAAGCUCUUUUGUCAGGGAAGAAACGGUGAGAGCUAAUAUCUUUUGCUAAUGACGGUACCUGAAGAAUAAGCACCGGCUAACUACGUGCCAGCAGCCGCGGUAAUACGUAGGGUGCAAGCGUUAAUCGGAAUUACUGGGCGUAAAGCGUGCGCAGGCGGUUUUGUAAGUCUGAUGUGAAAUCCCCGGGCUCAACCUGGGAAUUGCAUUGGAGACUGCAAGGCUGGAAUCUGGCAGAGGGGGGUAGAAUUCCACGUGUAGCAGUGAAAUGCGUAGAUAUGUGGAGGAACACCGAUGGCGAAGGCAGCCCCCUGGGUCAAGAUUGACGCUCAUGCACGAAAGCGUGGGGAGCAAACAGGAUUAGAUACCCUGGUAGUCCCAUGA